CGAUGAACCACUUCGGUGGGGAUUAGUGGCGAACGGGUGAGUAACACGUGGGCAAUCUGCCCUGCACUCUGGGACAAGCCCUGGAAACGGGGUCUAAUACCGGAUACUGACCACUACAGGCAUCUGUGGUGGUGGAAAGCUCCGGCGGUGCAGGAUGAGCCCGCGGCCUAUCAGCUUGUUGGUGAGGUAACGGCUCACCAAGGCGACGACGGGUAGCCGGCCUGAGAGGGCGACCGGCCACACUGGGACUGAGACACGGCCCAGACUCCUACGGGAGGCAGCAGUGGGGAAUAUUGCACAAUGGGCGCAAGCCUGAUGCAGCGACGCCGCGUGAGGGAUGACGGCCUUCGGGUUGUAAACCUCUUUCAGCAGGGAAGAAGCGAAAGUGACGGUACCUGCAGAAGAAGCGCCGGCUAACUACGUGCCAGCAGCCGCGGUAAUACGUAGGGCGCGAGCGUUGUCCGGAAUUAUUGGGCGUAAAGAGCUCGUAGGCGGCUUGUCGCGUCGGUUGUGAAAGCCCGGGGCUUAACCCCGGGUCUGCAGUCGAUACGGGCAGGCUAGAGUUCGGUAGGGGAGAUCGGAAUUCCUGGUGUAGCGGUGAAAUGCGCAGAUAUCAGGAGGAACACCGGUGGCGAAGGCGGAUCUCUGGGCCGAUACUGACGCUGAGGAGCGAAAGCGUGGGGAGCGAACAGGAUUAGAUACCCUGGUAGUCCACGCCGUAAACGGUGGGCACUAGGUGUGGGCAACAUUCCACGUUGUCCGUGCCGCAGCUAACGCAUUAAGUGCCCCGCCUGGGGAGUAC
This 802-nucleotide ribosomal RNA is filed under the name Streptomyces sp. Its description in RNAcentral is "bacterial SSU rRNA". It matches the Rfam family "Bacterial small subunit ribosomal RNA", at positions 67 to 883 of the family's 1533-position model. The record is from RNAcentral. Lineage: Bacteria; Bacillati; Actinomycetota; Actinomycetes; Kitasatosporales; Streptomycetaceae.